CAACUGUGUGAAUUAAUGUGAACUGCGUACUGCUUUGAACAUCGACAUCUUGAACGCAUAUUGCGGCCGCGGGAUAUCCCGUGGCCACGUCUGGCCGAGGGUCGGCU
This 107-nucleotide ribosomal RNA is filed under the name Diplostomum mergi. RNAcentral's name for it is "partial 5.8S ribosomal RNA". It matches the Rfam family "5.8S ribosomal RNA", at positions 50 to 154 of the family's 154-position model. Rfam says of the family: 5.8S ribosomal RNA (5.8S rRNA) is a component of the large subunit of the eukaryotic ribosome. It is transcribed by RNA polymerase I as part of the 45S precursor that also contains 18S and 28S rRNA. Lineage: Eukaryota; Metazoa; Platyhelminthes; Trematoda; Diplostomida; Diplostomidae. The record is from RNAcentral. RNAcentral also lists the same sequence under 2 other names.